AGCAGCCGCGGUAAUUCCAGCUCCAAUAGCGUAUAUUAAAGUUGUUGCAGUUAAAAAGCUCGUAGUUGAAUUUCGGGGUCAGUAGAUUGGUCGUGCCACUGGUAUGUACUGGUCUCACUGGCUCCUCCUUCCUGAUGAACCGUAAUGCCAUUAAUUUGGUGUUGCGGGGAGACUGGACUGUUACUUUGAAAAAAUUAGAGUGUUUAAAGCAGGCUAACGCUUGAAUACAUUAGCAUGGAAUAAUGAAAUAGGACGUUCGAUCUUAUUUUGUUGGUUUCUAAGAUUGACGUAAUGAUUAAUAGGGAUAGUCGGGGGCAUUAGUAUUCAAUUGUCAGAGGUGAAAUUCUUGGAGUUAU
RNAcentral lists this ribosomal RNA (356 nucleotides) under uncultured Glomeraceae. Its description in RNAcentral is "SSU rRNA". It matches the Rfam family "Eukaryotic small subunit ribosomal RNA", at positions 569 to 929 of the family's 1831-position model. The record is from RNAcentral. Lineage: Eukaryota; Fungi; Glomeromycota; Glomeromycetes; Glomerales; Glomeraceae.